CACACACACACACACACACACACACACACAGUUCACAUAGAACAGUCAGUAGCAGAUUAUUUCCCUUUAGGCUGAGGUAGGAGAUUCAUCCCAGAGACAGAUUUGAUCGUGUUGUGUGAGAUCCACUCUGUUUGGUUUUGUAGUUCGGGGGUUUUGUUGUGUGACAGUCGGUGACACUGUUCCCUCUCACACACUGAACAGAUGAGAGAUAACAGAGUGGAAAUAAAGCACGGCGGUGAUUCAUCAGUUUUACACGAAGGC
This is a long non-coding RNA of Labrus mixtus (cuckoo wrasse), 261 nucleotides long. RefSeq lists it as uncharacterized. NCBI's taxonomy places the organism in Eukaryota, Metazoa, Chordata, Actinopteri, Labriformes, Labridae. The record is from RefSeq and is a predicted model, not a curated record. The transcript is spliced from 2 exons.